AAAAUCAACCAACACCUAUUAGCGCCAGGGUACUACGAGCUUUAGCUUAAAACCCAAAGGACUUGACGGUGUCCCACCCAACUAGAGGAGCCUGUCCUAUAAUUGAUGAUCCCCGAUAUACCCGACCAUUUCUUGCUUCAGCCUGUAUACCUCCGUCGUAAGCUUACCAUCUAAGUGUAUAACAGUAAGCCCAAGGACUUUAAAGCCAAAACGUCAGGUCAAGGUGCAGCUCAUGAAAUGGAAGAGAUGGGCUACAAUCUCUAACUUAGAGCACACGAAAUACUACAUGAAACAUAGUCAUGAAGGUGGAUUUAGUAGUAAAUGGGGAAUAGAGAGCCCCAUUAAAUUCGGCCCUGGGACGCGUACAAACCGCCCGUCACCCUCUUCAACAGCCCCCUCCCCCGCUCAAUAACACAACUUAGCACUUUAGAAGAGGCAAGUCGUAACAUGGUAAGUGUACUGGAAAGUGUACUUGGAAUAA
RNAcentral lists this ribosomal RNA (481 nucleotides) under Frankixalus sp. SDBDU 2009.1295. RNAcentral's name for it is "partial 12S ribosomal RNA". It matches the Rfam family "Bacterial small subunit ribosomal RNA", at positions 848 to 1533 of the family's 1533-position model. The record is from RNAcentral. Lineage: Eukaryota; Metazoa; Chordata; Amphibia; Anura; Rhacophoridae.